Molecule: ribosomal RNA, 2924 nt
Filed under: Escherichia coli
Lineage: Bacteria; Pseudomonadati; Pseudomonadota; Gammaproteobacteria; Enterobacterales; Enterobacteriaceae
Also listed under: 1 other name
Description: bacterial LSU rRNA
Rfam family: Bacterial large subunit ribosomal RNA
Source: RNAcentral
GGGUUGUGAGGUUAAGCGACUAAGCGUACACGGUGGAUGCCCUGGCAGUCAGAGGCGAUGAAGGACGUGCUAAUCUGCGAUAAGCGUCGGUAAGGUGAUAUGAACCGUUAUAACCGGCGAUUUCCGAAUGGGGAAACCCAGUGUGUUUCGACACACUAUCAUUAACUGAAUCCAUAGGUUAAUGAGGCGAACCGGGGGAACUGAAACAUCUAAGUACCCCGAGGAAAAGAAAUCAACCGAGAUUCCCCCAGUAGCGGCGAGCGAACGGGGAGCAGCCCAGAGCCUGAAUCAGUGUGUGUGUUAGUGGAAGCGUCUGGAAAGGCGCGCGAUACAGGGUGACAGCCCCGUACACAAAAAUGCACAUGCUGUGAGCUCGAUGAGUAGGGCGGGACACGUGGUAUCCUGUCUGAAUAUGGGGGGACCAUCCUCCAAGGCUAAAUACUCCUGACUGACCGAUAGUGAACCAGUACCGUGAGGGAAAGGCGAAAAGAACCCCGGCGAGGGGAGUGAAAAAGAACCUGAAACCGUGUACGUACAAGCAGUGGGAGCACGCUUAGGCGUGUGACUGCGUACCUUUUGUAUAAUGGGUCAGCGACUUAUAUUCUGUAGCAAGGUUAACCGAAUAGGGGAGCCGAAGGGAAACCGAGUCUUAACUGGGCGUUAAGUUGCAGGGUAUAGACCCGAAACCCGGUGAUCUAGCCAUGGGCAGGUUGAAGGUUGGGUAACACUAACUGGAGGACCGAACCGACUAAUGUUGAAAAAUUAGCGGAUGACUUGUGGCUGGGGGUGAAAGGCCAAUCAAACCGGGAGAUAGCUGGUUCUCCCCGAAAGCUAUUUAGGUAGCGCCUCGUGAAUUCAUCUCCGGGGGUAGAGCACUGUUUCGGCAAGGGGGUCAUCCCGACUUACCAACCCGAUGCAAACUGCGAAUACCGGAGAAUGUUAUCACGGGAGACACACGGCGGGUGCUAACGUCCGUCGUGAAGAGGGAAACAACCCAGACCGCCAGCUAAGGUCCCAAAGUCAUGGUUAAGUGGGAAACGAUGUGGGAAGGCCCAGACAGCCAGGAUGUUGGCUUAGAAGCAGCCAUCAUUUAAAGAAAGCGUAAUAGCUCACUGGUCGAGUCGGCCUGCGCGGAAGAUGUAACGGGGCUAAACCAUGCACCGAAGCUGCGGCAGCGACACUAUGUGUUGUUGGGUAGGGGAGCGUUCUGUAAGCCUGUGAAGGUGUGCUGUGAGGCAUGCUGGAGGUAUCAGAAGUGCGAAUGCUGACAUAAGUAACGAUAAAGCGGGUGAAAAGCCCGCUCGCCGGAAGACCAAGGGUUCCUGUCCAACGUUAAUCGGGGCAGGGUGAGUCGACCCCUAAGGCGAGGCCGAAAGGCGUAGUCGAUGGGAAACAGGUUAAUAUUCCUGUACUUGGUGUUACUGCGAAGGGGGGACGGAGAAGGCUAUGUUGGCCGGGCGACGGUUGUCCCGGUUUAAGCGUGUAGGCUGGUUUUCCAGGCAAAUCCGGAAAAUCAAGGCUGAGGCGUGAUGACGAGGCACUACGGUGCUGAAGCAACAAAUGCCCUGCUUCCAGGAAAAGCCUCUAAGCAUCAGGUAACAUCAAAUCGUACCCCAAACCGACACAGGUGGUCAGGUAGAGAAUACCAAGGCGCUUGAGAGAACUCGGGUGAAGGAACUAGGCAAAAUGGUGCCGUAACUUCGGGAGAAGGCACGCUGAUAUGUAGGUGAAGUCCCUCGCGGAUGGAGCUGAAAUCAGUCGAAGAUACCAGCUGGCUGCAACUGUUUAUUAAAAACACAGCACUGUGCAAACACGAAAGUGGACGUAUACGGUGUGACGCCUGCCCGGUGCCGGAAGGUUAAUUGAUGGGGUUAGCGCAAGCGAAGCUCUUGAUCGAAGCCCCGGUAAACGGCGGCCGUAACUAUAACGGUCCUAAGGUAGCGAAAUUCCUUGUCGGGUAAGUUCCGACCUGCACGAAUGGCGUAAUGAUGGCCAGGCUGUCUCCACCCGAGACUCAGUGAAAUUGAACUCGCUGUGAAGAUGCAGUGUACCCGCGGCAAGACGGAAAGACCCCGUGAACCUUUACUAUAGCUUGACACUGAACAUUGAGCCUUGAUGUGUAGGAUAGGUGGGAGGCUUUGAAGUGUGGACGCCAGUCUGCAUGGAGCCGACCUUGAAAUACCACCCUUUAAUGUUUGAUGUUCUAACGUUGACCCGUAAUCCGGGUUGCGGACAGUGUCUGGUGGGUAGUUUGACUGGGGCGGUCUCCUCCUAAAGAGUAACGGAGGAGCACGAAGGUUGGCUAAUCCUGGUCGGACAUCAGGAGGUUAGUGCAAUGGCAUAAGCCAGCUUGACUGCGAGCGUGACGGCGCGAGCAGGUGCGAAAGCAGGUCAUAGUGAUCCGGUGGUUCUGAAUGGAAGGGCCAUCGCUCAACGGAUAAAAGGUACUCCGGGGAUAACAGGCUGAUACCGCCCAAGAGUUCAUAUCGACGGCGGUGUUUGGCACCUCGAUGUCGGCUCAUCACAUCCUGGGGCUGAAGUAGGUCCCAAGGGUAUGGCUGUUCGCCAUUUAAAGUGGUACGCGAGCUGGGUUUAGAACGUCGUGAGACAGUUCGGUCCCUAUCUGCCGUGGGCGCUGGAGAACUGAGGGGGGCUGCUCCUAGUACGAGAGGACCGGAGUGGACGCAUCACUGGUGUUCGGGUUGUCAUGCCAAUGGCACUGCCCGGUAGCUAAAUGCGGAAGAGAUAAGUGCUGAAAGCAUCUAAGCACGAAACUUGCCCCGAGAUGAGUUCUCCCUGACCCUUUAAGGGUCCUGAAGGAACGUUGAAGACGACGACGUUGAUAGGCCGGGUGUGUAAGCGCAGCGAUGCGUUGAGCUAACCGGUACUAAUGAACCGUGAGGCUUAACCUUACAACGCCGAAG